UACGGAGGGUGCAAGCGUUAUCCGGAUUCACUGGGCUUAAAGGGUGCGUAGGUGGUCAGGUAAGUCAGUGGUGAAAUCUCCGGGCUUAACUCGGAAACUGCCAUUGAUACUAUCUGUCUUGAAUACCGUGGAGGUUAGCGGAAUAUGUCAUGUAGCGGUGAAAUGCUUAGAUAUGGCAUAGAACACCAAGUGCGAAGGCAGCUGGCUACAGGAAUAUUGACACUGAUGCGCGAAAGCGUGGGGAUCAAACAGG
This 253-nucleotide ribosomal RNA is filed under the name uncultured bacterium. RNAcentral's name for it is "partial 16S ribosomal RNA". It matches the Rfam family "Bacterial small subunit ribosomal RNA", at positions 524 to 776 of the family's 1533-position model. The record is from RNAcentral.